This is a non-coding RNA of Peromyscus maniculatus bairdii (prairie deer mouse), 1759 nucleotides long. The record is from RefSeq and is a predicted model, not a curated record. NCBI's taxonomy places the organism in Eukaryota, Metazoa, Chordata, Mammalia, Rodentia, Cricetidae.
CUCUGGGUGGCAGCAUCAGGGAAUCUCUAGAUCAGAGCUGCGUUUGAAUGGUUUGAAGGCCUGCUCAUUCCUUUUCCAGGGUGGAGCAUCUUCAUAAAGUCAAACUUUCAAGAUUUCCUGGCUCUGGCUAGUGAUGGCUCUGGGUUUCCCAGUCUCUCCUUGUCUGCAUGAAUGCUUCCUGCACUGCCCUGCUUGCUCUUACUCCACUAUUGUGAAUGCAGUAUAUCUGGGAUGUGUGUACAUACGUGGACUUUUCAACUGGUUCCUGGUAUGAAGACAGGAUUCAGGCUGGGAGAUCAGUGCUUCACUUGGCUUUUAGUUCAGAAUGGUUGAAAGGGAUAAAAGGAGACAGUGUCAUCGUAAGCCAGCAAACUAAACUCCUGAGAGUUAUGGUGUGGGAGAGCCAGGACAAUGGAGCGUAAGCAGUCGAGAAAACACAGCUAAAGUAGGGAAUAGAACAACUUCAUGCCCUUCUAUCCUGUUCCUGUCAUCCAAUGCUACCAUGCCAUCACCCACAUCCAAGGAACAAGGGAAUCUGGGAAAUAGAGUUUUCUGGAGCAAAGAUCAGGGGAUAAACCAGACACUCUGAGGAUGACACUAGAUUACAUUUGCCAGCCUCCUUUGCACCUAUCUGUGUCAUCUGAUUAAGUCGUCUCCUCUGGGACAUGAACACUAAUAUUAAGUAACCUCUGGGACCCUGAAACACAUAUUAGUUAGCCUGCCUCUGCCUGAGUACUUUCUUCCCAUCAUUGACUGCCACAGAAGAGAGUCACCAUUCACUAAGAAGACGGUGAUGAAGCUGUAGGAAAAGGGGAGUGAUACAUGAGGAGAUUGUGGACUAAACCUGAUGUCUUUCAGUCAUGGAAAACCAACCCGCUAGCCCCUGGGCUUUGAUGAUAUGACACAAUAAUGCAUCUGCUAGACAGGGGGUGGCCAGCCCACCUGACCUGCCCAACAUAUUUACAGAAAUCAUUGCUCUGCCCCACAAGGAGGAGAUGGAAGAAAGAGAAGCUGCACUUAUUAUUUGAUGUAUUUGCUUAUUUCUGACCAGAGUGAGGUAUUCACCACCAGCAUGACUGUGCUCCUUAUUCCAUGCAAGAUUUGUUCUAAAUGACUUCAGGCUGUUUACAAAACAAAAGCCAAACUUAAAGGACAAAGAUUUACCACCUUGAAGGAUAGUUAUAAUCAAUGCUUUAGGCUAUGGUCACAUUUAACACCACUGUCACUUGGCUUCUGGGCAACAGAAAGAGCACUUUCCUUCAAGUCCAAAGAUCCCACUUUUAGUUACCUGAUAAAGAAGCAUUUAAACCGGCAUUGACUCCAGGAAGUGUCUUUGCAUGAACAAGGACAUCAAUAACAAUUCAGCAUGAAUGUCUCCAAAUCCUAGAUUACUAACUCAAAAAAGUACAGCAUUCUAUGUGGCUCCCACUAUGAGAUUAAAAUGGUACAAUGAAACUAAUAUCAAGAUGGAUCUCCUUGACAUUAUUCAAGAAUUGAGAGCUGCAGCUAACUCUGGGAAGGAAGUUUUCUCAAGGUCCCAAUGUCCAUGCUUCCUCAGUUUCUAGUUACUUUUAUGAAUUAUCAUAUCUUAAGUAAGAAAGUUUAUUCUCUAGGCAGCUAAAUCUUCAAAAUAAAGAAAGAUAAUACAGCCUCAGAGAAUGAGGACCAUAAAUUAUGUCAUGGGAAACUUGUCCAUGGCAUAUUCUAAGCUUGUUGUAUCACAGUGGAAAAUAAAUGCAUCACAAAAUGUUUUCUUUCA